Molecule: non-coding RNA, 312 nt
Organism: Schizosaccharomyces pombe (fission yeast)
Lineage: Eukaryota; Fungi; Ascomycota; Schizosaccharomycetes; Schizosaccharomycetales; Schizosaccharomycetaceae
Source: the annotation of a GenBank genome assembly
ACGAUAGUCGAGAGGAGAGGUAGCUUGAAAAUCCAUAUAUAUAGGAUGCAAUCCCGUAACCGUACUAGCAGCGGUUUGUGCUUGAUCCAAAGUUACUGUUUUCAAAGAAUUUUCCGGUAUGGGCUCUUGAACCGCCGUCAUGUUUCCUAGCCCGUACAUUUGUUCACGAGGUUUAUUGCUCAUUGAAGGUUUGUCCAUACGACUGGAAGUCAUAAACGACCUACCGUAAACUCCAAGACUCUGUCUAACAUUAUUAAUAUCCUGACUCUCUCGCUUGACAAAAAAUAAAGCACUUCGUAGUUCAAGAAGGCA